Long non-coding RNA from Mytilus californianus (California mussel), 846 nucleotides. RefSeq lists it as uncharacterized. NCBI's taxonomy places the organism in Eukaryota, Metazoa, Mollusca, Bivalvia, Mytilida, Mytilidae. The record is from RefSeq and is a predicted model, not a curated record. The transcript has 2 exons.
AUAAACAGCUGCGCCAUGAGCGCAUGAUACGCCCGUCGUCUUGUGUGUGAAUUUUUAUGCAAUAAGCAUAAAUAGUUUCUGACAUACGGCGUGACAUGCUAAAACACCCUUUUUUUUUUUUACAAAAAACUCAAUAUCUCUAAAAUAAAAUUUUGAAUCAAAACCAAAAAAUAUACAGAUCUUUAGAUUAAUAUAACUAAGAAGUGUGUAAAAUUUUAAGCAAUAAUCAUAAAUCGUUUUUGAGAUAUGGCGCGACAUGUGAAACACCCCUUUUAAAAAAAAAAUCAAUAUCUCAAAAAAAAAAUUUUGAAUCAAAACCAAAAAGUAUACAGAUCUUUAGAUUAAUAUAACUAAGAAGUGUGUAAAAUUUUAAGCAAUAAUCAUAAAUCGUUUUUGAGAUAUGGCGCGACAUGUGAAAAACCCCUCCCCCUUUUUUUACAAAAUACUCAAUAACUCAAAAAUAAAAUUUUGAAUCAUCACCAAAAAGUAUACAGAUCUUAAGGUUAAUAUAACUAAGAAGUGUGUAAAGUUUUAAGCAAUAAUCAUAAACUGUUUUUGAGAAACGGCGCGACAUGUGAAAAACCCCUCCCCCUUUUUUAACAAAAUACUCAAUAUCUCUAAAAUAAAAUUUUGAAUCAUCACCAAAAAGUAUACAGAUCUUAAGAUUAAUAUAACUAAGAAGUGUGUAAAGUUUUAAGCAAUAAUCAUAAAUUGUUUUUGAGAUACGGCGCGAUAUGUGAAAAAAAAACACACACCUGUUUUAGUUACUAAGUCCCUUAACUCAAAAAGUUUUAAUCUUAUUUUCACCAAAAAGUAUACAGAUCGUUUGACCAUCAUGAGAAACAA